RNAcentral lists this ribosomal RNA (498 nucleotides) under uncultured bacterium. RNAcentral describes it as "partial 16S ribosomal RNA". It matches the Rfam family "Bacterial small subunit ribosomal RNA", at positions 30 to 523 of the family's 1533-position model. The record is from RNAcentral.
AUUGAACGCUGGCGGCAUGCCUUACACAUGCAAGUCGAACGGUAACAGGUCUUCGGAUGCUGACGAGUGGCGAACGGGUGAGUAAUACAUCGGAACGUGCCUAGUAGUGGGGGAUAACUACUCGAAAGAGUGGCUAAUACCGCAUGAGAUCUACGGAUGAAAGCAGGGGAUCGCAAGACCUGGCGCUACUAGAGCGGCCCAUGGGAGAUUAGGUAGUUGGUGGGAUAAAAGCUUACCAAGCCGACGAUCUGUAGCUGGUGUGAGAGGACGGUCAGCCACACUGGAACUGAGACACGGCCCAGAUGCCUACGGGAGGCAGCAGUGGGGAAUUUUGGACAAUGGGCGAAAGCCUGAUCCAGCAAUGCCGCGUGCAGGAUGAAGGCCUUCGGGUUGUAAACUGCUUUUGUACGGAACGAAAAGCCCCGGGUUAAUACCCUGGGGUCAUGACGGUACCGUAAGAAUAAGCACCGGCUAACUACGUGCCAGCCGCCGCCGUAA